RNAcentral lists this microRNA (19 nucleotides) under Homo sapiens (human). RNAcentral describes it as "hsa-miR-4265". The record is from miRBase by way of RNAcentral. Lineage: Eukaryota; Metazoa; Chordata; Mammalia; Primates; Hominidae.
CUGUGGGCUCAGCUCUGGG